UACGAAGGGGGCUAGCGUUGCUCGGAAUUACUGGGCGUAAAGGGCGCAUAGGCGGCCUGCUAAGUCGGACGUGAAAUCCCUCGGCUCAACCCCGGGACUGCGUCCGAUACUUCCGAGCUGGAGGUAGGUAGGGGAGAUCGGAAUUCCUGGUGUAGCGGUGAAAUGCGCAGAUAUCAGGAGGAACACCAGUGGCGAAGGCGGCACUCUGGGCCGGUACUGACGCUGAGGAGCGAAAGCGUGGGGAGCGAACAGG
Molecule: ribosomal RNA, 253 nt
Filed under: uncultured bacterium
Lineage: Bacteria
Description: partial 16S ribosomal RNA
Rfam family: Bacterial small subunit ribosomal RNA
Source: RNAcentral